AAACCUCAAAGAGAGUAACUUCUAAUUACCCCCAAGUUCAAUCGAACUAAGGUUUU
This 56-nucleotide transfer RNA is filed under the name Singhiella simplex. RNAcentral's name for it is "D-loop tRNA-Ser". The record is from RNAcentral. Lineage: Eukaryota; Metazoa; Arthropoda; Insecta; Hemiptera; Aleyrodidae.